RNAcentral lists this ribosomal RNA (301 nucleotides) under uncultured bacterium. RNAcentral's name for it is "partial 16S ribosomal RNA". It matches the Rfam family "Bacterial small subunit ribosomal RNA", at positions 509 to 809 of the family's 1533-position model. The record is from RNAcentral.
CAGUAGCCACGGUAAUACGUAGGGUGCAAGCGUUAAUCGGAAUUACUGGGCGUAAAGCGUGCGUAGGCGGUGAGUUAAGUCAGAUGUGAAAUCCCCGAGCUUAACUCGGGAACUGCAUUUGAGACUGGCAGGCUAGAGUCUCGUAGAGGGGGGUAGAAUUCCAGGUGUAGCGGUGAAAUGCGUAGAGAUCUGGAGGAAUACCGGUGGCGAAGGCGGCCCCCUGGACGAAGACUGACGCUCAGGUACGAAAGCGUGGGGAGCAAACAGGAUUAGAUACCCCGGUAGUCCCUGUCUCUUAUAA